UAGAGCCUGCCCUGCUCGUGACAAGGGAUGAUGUUAAUCCACCAAGUUAGAUCUUUAGGGAGCUGGAUAAGGGGGUACGGUGUGCAUGUCUUCCUCGUUGAAGAAAGCCUAAUGUCCUCCUUGGGGCGCCCACUUGGGAAAAGUGGAUCUAACGCUUUCGCUUGCACGGCAGGGUGGGUUUUAU
Molecule: non-coding RNA, 184 nt
Filed under: Nitrospiraceae bacterium
Lineage: Bacteria; Pseudomonadati; Nitrospirota; Nitrospiria; Nitrospirales; Nitrospiraceae
Description: 6S RNA
Rfam family: 6S / SsrS RNA
About the family: E. coli 6S RNA was the first non coding RNA to be sequenced, but its function was unknown until recently. It consists of 184 nucleotides that fold into an extended hairpin structure with a large single-stranded internal bulge.
Source: RNAcentral